Molecule: ribosomal RNA, 497 nt
Filed under: uncultured bacterium
Lineage: Bacteria
Description: partial 16S ribosomal RNA
Rfam family: Bacterial small subunit ribosomal RNA
Source: RNAcentral
GAUGAACGCUGGCGGCGUGCCUAAUACAUGCAAGUCGAGCGAACAGACGAGGAGCUUGCUCCUCUGACGUUAGCGGCGGACGGGUGAGUAACACGUGGAUAACCUACCUAUAAGACUGGGAUAACUUCGGGAAACCGGAGCUAAUACCGGAUAAUAUAUUGAACCGCAUGGUUCAAUAGGGAAAGACGGUUUUGCGGUCACUUAUAGAUGGAUCCGCGCCGCAUUAGCUAGUUGGUAAGGUAACGGCUUACCAAGGCAACGAUGCGUAGCCGACCUGAGAGGGUGAUCGGCCACACUGGAACUGAGACACGGUCCAGACUCCUACGGGAGGCAGCAGUAGGGAAUCUUCCGCAAUGGGCGAAAGCCUGACGGAGCAACGCCGCGUGAGUGAUGAAGGUCUUCGGAUCGUAAAACUCUGUUAUUAGGGAAGAACAAAUGUGUAAGUAACUAUGCACGUCUUGACGGUACCUAAUCAGAAAGCCACGGCUAACUACGUG